ACUCUGCAGGGCUAACGAUACUCUCAUCAUCAUCCUAGGUGUUCCACAUGUGCCUGCUGUUGUGGAUUUGACUGGAAGGAAGAGGAGCAUGGGCAAAGAGGAGAGAACCAAGGAAACUAAUGAUGAACCCUGGAAUUCCCCUCAGAGACGCGAAGAUGCUGUGCAAUGAUUCUCUAACUACAUAAGGAAAGAAGAGAUAACCAGCUGCUGAUCCUAACUGCAGAGAGAGAGAGAAAGAGAGCACAGAAGGAGACGUUUUUCUCUAUUACACUGUUUUAUCUCUCUAGCCCAGACUGGCUUCACAAGAGAGUUCCAGAGGAUCCUGAAAACUGAAGAAGAGUAACAACUCACCAAACAAGAUCCAAGAAAGGGGGAAGAAACUCAGGACUGCAAAACACCUGGAGGGAGAGAGAUGACAAAAUGAAAAGGAAAGCUACAGAAAAUUAUCUCACUGGGAGAAAAUAAUUGUAAAAGAUACAUCUGACAAAGGACUCAGAACUGAGGUAUAUAAAGAACUCUUUCAACUCAGCAAAAUUAACAAAAAAUUGGGCAAAGAAGAUAUA
Long non-coding RNA from Symphalangus syndactylus (siamang), 563 nucleotides. RefSeq lists it as uncharacterized. The record is from RefSeq and is a predicted model, not a curated record. NCBI's taxonomy places the organism in Eukaryota, Metazoa, Chordata, Mammalia, Primates, Hylobatidae.